UGAGCAUUCGGUACGGUUAACCGAAAACCGAACCGAAUAACCGAAAAAAAUUCGGUUCGGUUAACCGAAUUAAAUAUUUCGGUUCGGUUUUCGGUAGGGAAAAUGUCAAAAGUUCGGUUUUCGGUAUUUCGGUUAUUUAACCGCGGUUAACCGUUAACCGUUCGGUUAACCGGAUUUUAAUAUAUAUAUAUAUAUUAAUAUUUUAUAUUAUAAACAUAAAUACAUAUCUGUAUUAUUAAUUGGUAUAUACAUUACCUAUUUACUUUACUUUUACUCACAAACACUGAACUGAACACCGACGGCCAACACUUCCCUACUUCAAACUCGUUACUCGCCUGCGCAGCCCUAAACAACAAUCGAAGUAUCAGAACUCAGCAGUCAGAACUCAGCAGAUGCAAUGUAGCACUUCGACAGUGAGCGAGUCUGCCCUUAAUGCUUAGCAGAAGACAAGGAUUUGUGGUGUGUAACUGUGAUAAACUAAUUUGUGAUAUACUAAAUUUAGACUUAUGAAGUGUGUUGGUUUAAACUUUUUGUUUGAGUAAUCAUUCAUAACUUGUAAACUUUGGAUCUAGAUUUGUUUGUGUGUUCUGUUAUUCUAAAUUUUUUAAAAUUUCGGUUUUAAAUUUCGGUUUUCGGUAAUAACCGAAAUAUAAAUUUCGGUUCGGUUACAAAACCGAAUUAAAUUCGGUUCGGUUUUCGGUAGGGAUUUUUCAGGUAUUUCGGUUUCGGUUAACCGAAUUGUAAUUCGGUUCGGUUCGGUUUUUACCGAAUGCUCACCCCUA
Molecule: long non-coding RNA, 782 nt
Filed under: Daucus carota (carrot)
Lineage: Eukaryota; Viridiplantae; Streptophyta; Magnoliopsida; Apiales; Apiaceae
Description: long non-coding RNA (DCAR_LNC002505)
Source: RNAcentral